UACGGAGGGUGCAAGCGUUAAUCGGAAUUACUGGGCGUAAAGGGUGCGUAGGCUGGAAGAUAAGUCAGAUGUGAAAUUCCAAAGCUCGACUUUGGAGCUGCAUCUGAAACUAUUUUUCUUGAGGAAUGGCGGAGAAAACGGAAUUCCACGUGUAGCGGUGAAAUGCGUAGAUAUGUGGAAGAACAUCUGUGGCGAAAGCGGUUUUCUAGCUUAAUCCUGACGCUGAGGCACGAAAGCAAGGGGAGCAAACAGG
RNAcentral lists this ribosomal RNA (253 nucleotides) under uncultured bacterium. RNAcentral's name for it is "partial 16S ribosomal RNA". It matches the Rfam family "Bacterial small subunit ribosomal RNA", at positions 524 to 776 of the family's 1533-position model. The record is from RNAcentral.